Long non-coding RNA from Macadamia integrifolia, 1022 nucleotides. RefSeq lists it as uncharacterized. The transcript has 4 exons. Lineage: Eukaryota; Viridiplantae; Streptophyta; Magnoliopsida; Proteales; Proteaceae. The record is from RefSeq and is a predicted model, not a curated record.
GAGAGAAGAGAGAAGAGGAGCUCGCCCCCUUGUGAAAUCUCCAGUGCAACUUCGCCUCUUCUCCUUCUUCUCCUUCUUCUUCUUCAUCUCUUCUAACCUCUUUCUUCUUCUUCUAUUCUAACCUCUUCUCCUUAUUCCUCAUUUAUUGUAAUCACAGAGCAGGUAUUGGGACUAAUUUUAGGGGUUUUUUGGACCACCUAUGACUGACUCCAGAUUCCAGAAAUAGAGAUUGAUAAGCUUCAAUGUUUUGAGGAGAGAUUUGUUCGUAACCCUCAAAUAUUCCCCUAAAAGGUCUUCAUCAUCGUAUAGCUCAUAGAGAGAGAGCAGUUAAUUCAUCCUCAGUGCCCUGUGAAACCCUAAAAGGAAAGAGAGAGAGAGAGAGAGAGACUAUUUGGCACACAGAGCAUGGUUCGUUGAUUUUUUUUUUUGGCACGCAGAGCAGAGACACUCCUACUACCCAAUUCAUUGGCUUCUUCACCUGAGAAUCAGCUUCAGCGACGACGGUGGGGUAUGGAGAUUAUGCAUUCAUGUGAUUUGAAGGGUAGGUGUUUUGCUAUCAUUUGGCUCUUGGUAAGUACAUUGGCUAUUGCAAGGGCUUUCCUCUACUUAACUAAGUUAAGGAUUGACAAGAGAAAUCGAAAGAUCAUGAAAUGGGUUCUUCAGAAGAAGAUGACUCUAGGUGAUCUAGUGGCUAUUGACCUCGAUAAUGAUGGUUCUGUAAGGCGUUCGCUAUGCAUUGGACUAUCAUUGAAGUUUGGUUCUCCUCAAAGGAUCUUCUUCAACCUAUUCCCAUAGUGUCCCACUCGCCAUGGCCGUACUAUAGUUUUGAGGUGUUUUGGGAUAUCUAUGCCCAGUAUGGGCACGUGUAAAUAUAGGGACUCUAAUCACACUAUGAGACACUUGCAGCAUAUGUACUUCUCUAGGUCCUUGGCUUGGGGAGAUGAUGUUUAAUUAAUAGAUUCUCUUUUCUUCAUAAAAAAAAAAUAAUAAUAAUAAGAAAAUAAUUUGAGGCAUUUUUUUUC